CCUACGGGCGGCAGCAGUGGGGAAUAUUGGACAAUGGGGGGAACCCUGAUCCAGCCAUGCCGCGUGUGUGAAGAAGGCCCUCGGGUUGUAAAGCACUUUCAGUGAGGAAGAACGCCUGGUGGUUAAUACCCAUCAGGAAAGACAUCACUCACAGAAGAAGCACCGGCUAACUCCGUGCCAGCAGCCGCGGGAAUACGGAGGGUGCGAGCGUUAAUCGGAAUUACUGGGCGUAAAGCGCGCGUAGGUGGCUUGAUAAGCCGGUUGUGAAAGCCCCGGGCUCAACCUGGGAACGGCAUCCGGAACUGUCAAGCUAGAGUGCAGGAGAGGAAGGUAGAAUUCCCGGUGUAGCGGUGAAAUGCGUAGAGAUCGGGAGGAAUACCAGUGGCGAAGGCGGCCUUCUGGACUGACACUGACACUGAGGUGCGAAAGCGUGGGUAGCAAACAGGAUUAGAUACCCGGGUAGUC
Molecule: ribosomal RNA, 465 nt
Filed under: Vreelandella stevensii
Lineage: Bacteria; Pseudomonadati; Pseudomonadota; Gammaproteobacteria; Oceanospirillales; Halomonadaceae
Description: partial 16S ribosomal RNA
Rfam family: Bacterial small subunit ribosomal RNA
Source: RNAcentral